UACGUAGGGUGCAAGCGUUGUCCGGAAUUAUUGGGCGUAAAGAGCUUGUAGGCGGUUUGUCGCGUCUGCUGUGAAAUUUCGGGGCUCAACCCCGAACUUGCAGUGGGUACGGGCAGACUAGAGUGUGGUAGGGGAGACUGGAAUUCCUGGUGUAGCGGUGAAAUGCGCAGAUAUCAGGAGGAACACCGAUGGCGAAGGCAGGUCUCUGGGCCACUACUGACGCUGAGACACGAAAGCGUGGGGAGCAAACAGG
Molecule: ribosomal RNA, 253 nt
Filed under: uncultured bacterium
Lineage: Bacteria
Description: partial 16S ribosomal RNA
Rfam family: Bacterial small subunit ribosomal RNA
Source: RNAcentral